UGUCGUCCGUCCCGUCACUGUCGGAUGAGGAAGAGACGCGUCGGGGCGCUGAGACGGGCAAGGCUCGCGGGAGAGCGAUGGGGAUCGCAGAGCUCCUGCGUCGUCCGGGAAGCCCCGCGAGUCUCCUGGCCGUGGCUGUCCUGCUGACUAUGGUGCUCGACUCUGCGUGGCUUCUCCCCCAGGAGCAGCAGGAUCUUCCAACCGUGAGGCCAAACUCCAGUCUCAAUGUGAAGUUUGACCCAAAGACGACGAGGCUGACUUGGGACUGCAAGGAGAACACUACGUACGGGGAGUGCGUGUUGAUUCACAAGGAGAAGGGGCUGAUUAAGAAAAAGGUCAAAGACAGCGAAUGUCACUGCACAUUUCCGGACUGUUCUCUCCACGGGGGAGUCACGCUCAGCGUCCAAAUAAAUGUCAACCAGAGACGGCUUUCAGAAAGGCUGGUCUACAGUAACCCAGGUAGGGAGGGCACGGCUGCCCGAAACUUCUCCUGUGUCAUCUACGACGCGGAUUUCAUGAACUGCAGCUGGGCCAAGGGCCGAGCGGCCCCCGAUGACGUCCAGUAUUUUUUGUACACGCGAUCAAAGAAAAGAAUCGAAAGGGAAUGUCCUCAUUACCUGAAAGACUCGGGGACCCACGUGGGAUGUCACCUCCGAGAUCUGUCGGGGUUAACUUCAUACAGUUACUUCCUGGUUAACGGAAGCAGCCAAGAAACGGAAAUCCAGUUCUUCGACUCGCUUUUGCUGUUAAAGGAAAUAGAGCGGUACAACGCUCCCGACAAUAUCACCGUCCACUGCAACGAGUCCCACUGCCUCGUCCGGUGGGAACAGCCCAGGACCCGGCAGCCUCGGUCUAACAGGGAGUUCCAGUACCAGCUGGACGUCCAGAGAUGGCAUGAUACCAGCAGCAAUAGAGGUCAACUGGUGAGUGACGACCCUGACCCUAGCUACCACCCUUGUUGUUUAAUCUUACGUGUGUGUGGGCGUGCGCAGUCGCUUCAUUCGUGUCCGACUCUCUGUGACCCCAUGGACUGUAGCCCACCAGCCUCCCCCGUCCAUGGGAUUCUCCAGGCCAGAACACUGGAGUGGGUUGCCAUGCAACCUCCUCUGUCCGAUGAGGAAGUUGGACUGGGUCCUCUGAGCAUCCUUUGCGGGGCCAUGACCCGUCUGUGGGUCUGUCCACAUCCUCCGCAGUUCCUCAACUGUCGCUUCAUCUGUACUGAAUGAUCCCAGGGGCCCCAGGACUAGUCAGUCAGAAGAUUCAGGACAAUCACCCAUGCUCUUUAUUUAUCUAUGCAUCUCUUUGCAGUAUUCGGGACGCAAAUUACAACAUUCACACUCAGGUUGGGAGGGUGUGGGCUUGAAUGUUUCUCUCCAGUUGGACAACUGAAAAGACACCCCCCACCCCCAGUCUUUUUCUCAACACAGGUCACAACUCUAACUUUCUGCUUUCUCCAAAGAUUGUGGUGUUUGGUGACUCGGGAAAUAGGUACAACUUUCCCAAACCGGGAUCCAAAGCAAAACAUACUGUGAAGAUAAGGACAGCGGACGCCCGGAAGGCCCACUGGGGUGCCUGGAGCCAGCCCGUUGAGUUCGGCUCGUCAGGACCCACAGGUUAUUCCCUCCGGUUCCACAGAUCAAAGAUAAAUUGAACGAUAACCAUCCAAUCGACCACGAGAUACUAUGGGAGAAGUUUACACAUGAAACGGGAAAAGAUGACAAGGAAGAGGUCUUAAUCGUGGAGAAAGUCUCAGAAGCCCCAGCAAAACUGUGAAUUCCAGGCGUCUCCAUACCCGGGACUUUCUAGAAGCUGUCGACUUUUUUUUUUAAAUAUAUUUUUUUUAACAUUUCUUAAAUGUUUUAUUUACUGUUUCGAAUGAAGCUUUUUUAAAUUGU
Odocoileus virginianus texanus is the source of this 1895-nucleotide non-coding RNA. The record is from RefSeq and is a predicted model, not a curated record. NCBI's taxonomy places the organism in Eukaryota, Metazoa, Chordata, Mammalia, Artiodactyla, Cervidae.